GGCCUACAGGAGGCAGCAGUAGGGAAUCUUCCACAAUGGGCGAAAGCCUGAUGGAGCAACGCCGCGUGGGUGAAGAAGGUCUUCGGAUCGUAAAACCCUGUUGUUAGAGAAGAAAGUGCGUGAGAGUAACUGUUCACGUUUCGACGGUAUCUAACCGGAAAGCCACGGCUAACUACGUGCCAGCAGCCGCGGUAAUACGUAGGGAGCAAGCGUUAUCCGGAUUUAUUGGGUGUAAAGGGUGCGUAGACGGGUAUACAAGUUAGUAGUGAAAUCCCUCGGCUUAACUGAGGAACUGCUACUAAAAC
Molecule: ribosomal RNA, 305 nt
Filed under: uncultured bacterium
Lineage: Bacteria
Description: bacterial SSU rRNA
Rfam family: Bacterial small subunit ribosomal RNA
Source: RNAcentral